CUGCAACUACAGCUGCAAGGAAGAGAAGGUCCUCACACCUUCUGUCUGCCUACUUGUAGCAGCCAAGAUUGAAUGGGGGGAAACAGGA
This 88-nucleotide small nucleolar RNA is filed under the name Dasypus novemcinctus (nine-banded armadillo). RNAcentral describes it as "Small nucleolar RNA SNORA31 (ENSDNOG00000047935.1)". Lineage: Eukaryota; Metazoa; Chordata; Mammalia; Cingulata; Dasypodidae. The record is from RNAcentral.